Molecule: ribosomal RNA, 460 nt
Filed under: uncultured bacterium
Lineage: Bacteria
Description: partial 16S ribosomal RNA
Rfam family: Bacterial small subunit ribosomal RNA
Source: RNAcentral
CCUACGGGAGGCAGCAGUGAGGAAUAUUGGUCAAUGGACGAGAGUCUGAACCAGCCAAGUAGCGUGAAGGAUGACUGCACUAUGGGUUGUAAACUUCUUUUAUAUGGGAAUAAAACGUUCCACGUGUGGGAUUUUGUAUGUACCAUAUGAAUAAGGAUCGGCUAACUCCGUGCCAGCAGCCGCGGUAAUACGGAGGAUCCGAGCGUUAUCCGGAUUUAUUGGGUUUAAAGGGAGCGUAGGUGGAUUGUUAAGUCAGUUGUGAAAGUUUGCGGCUCAACCGUAAAAUUGCAGUUGAAACUGGCAGUCUUGAGUACAGUAGAGGUGGGCGGAAUUCGUGGUGUAGCGGUGAAAUGCUUAGAUAUCACGAAGAACUCCGAUUGCGAAGGCAGUUCACUGGACUGCAACUGACACUGAGGCUCGAAAGUGUGGGUAUCAAACAGGAUUAGAUACCCGUGUAGUC